Molecule: ribosomal RNA, 773 nt
Filed under: uncultured Neocallimastigales
Lineage: Eukaryota; Fungi; Neocallimastigomycota; Neocallimastigomycetes; Neocallimastigales
Description: partial large subunit ribosomal RNA
Rfam family: Eukaryotic large subunit ribosomal RNA
Source: RNAcentral
CGAGCACGCGCGUGUGGCAUAUCAAUAAGCGGAGGAAAAGAAACUAACAAGGAUUCCCUUAGUAACGGCGAGUGAAGCGGGAAGAGCUCAAAUUUGAAUCUUCAAGGUUCUACCUUGACGAAUUGUAGUUUAUAGAAGUGUUUUCUGUUAGUGGAGUGGCAAAAGUUCUUUGGAAUAGGACAUCAUAGAGGGUGAGAAUCCCGUAUUUGGUCAUUCCUCCUAGCGUUGUGAUACACUUUCAACGAGUCGGAUUGUUUGGGAAUGCAGUCCAAAAUGGGUGGUAAAUUUCAUCUAAAGCUAAAUAUUGGCGAGAGACCGAUAGCGAACAAGUAUCGUGAGGGAAAGAUGAAAAGAACUUUGAAAAGAGAGUUAAACAGUACGUGAAAUUGUCAAAAGGGAAGCGUUUGACACCAGUGUUGUUUUUCCGAAAAUCAAUUACGAAUGUUUUGUUUUUGAGGAGUUAUGACUUCAUCGGCUUGCUCCUUUCUUUACGAAACUUUCUUAAUGCACUUUUCGGUUAACAAGUCAACAUCAAUUUCUUUUGUUGUAAAAGGGUAUGAGGAAGGUGGCUUUCUUUUCGGAGAAAGUGUUUAUAGCCUUGUGCCUCUGCAAUCGGAGAGAUUGAGGUCUGCAGCGUAGAUCCUUCGGGGUUAGAUACGUUUGUGCUAAGUUAUAGCUUUUCAUAGACAACUUGUUGACUAUGUUUAGUCUUGUAGCUUACUCGCUGACGCUAUUUUACCUACGCUUAGGAUGUUGAGUAGCGACAUACGCAC